UACGGGGGGGGCAAGCGUUGUUCGGAAUUACUGGGCGUAAAGGGCUCGUAGGCGGCCAACUAAGUCGGACGUGAAAUCCCUCGGCUUAACCGGGGAACUGCGUCCGAUACUGGAUGGCUUGAGUUCGGGAGAGGGAUGCGGAAUUCCAGGUGUAGCGGUGAAAUGCGUAGAUAUGUGGAGGAACACCGAUGGCGAAGGCAGCCCCCUGGGCUAACACUGACGCCUCAUGCACGAAAGCGUGGGGAGCAAACAGG
RNAcentral lists this ribosomal RNA (254 nucleotides) under uncultured bacterium. RNAcentral's name for it is "partial 16S ribosomal RNA". It matches the Rfam family "Bacterial small subunit ribosomal RNA", at positions 524 to 776 of the family's 1533-position model. The record is from RNAcentral.